AAUGAACGCUGGCGGCGUGCUUAACACAUGCAAGUCGAGCGAGGCCUGGGGGGCAACUCCCAGAGUCGAGCGGCGGACGGGUGAGUAACACGUGGGUAACCUGCCCGGAAGUGGGGAAUACCUCGGGGAAACUCGAGCUAAUACCGCAUGACAUCUUCGGGACGAAAGUCCUGACGAUCAAAGCGGGGGUCGCAAGAUCUCGCGCUACCGGAUGGGCCCGCGCCCGAUUAGCUAGUUGGGAGGUAACGGCUCACCAAGGCUUCGAUCGGUAACCGGCCUGAGAGGGCGAUCGGUCACACCGGAACUGAGACACGGUCCGGACUCCUACGGGAGGCAGCAGUGGGGAAUCUUGCGCAAUGGGCGAAAGCCUGACGCAGCAACGCCGCGUGAGGGAUGACGGCCU
This 403-nucleotide ribosomal RNA is filed under the name uncultured bacterium. RNAcentral's name for it is "bacterial SSU rRNA". It matches the Rfam family "Bacterial small subunit ribosomal RNA", at positions 28 to 417 of the family's 1533-position model. The record is from RNAcentral.